RNAcentral lists this ribosomal RNA (465 nucleotides) under uncultured bacterium. RNAcentral's name for it is "partial 16S ribosomal RNA". It matches the Rfam family "Bacterial small subunit ribosomal RNA", at positions 338 to 795 of the family's 1533-position model. The record is from RNAcentral.
CCUACGGGGGGCAGCAGUGGGGAAUAUUGCGCAAUGGGCGAAAGCCUGACGCAGCGACGCCGCGUGAGGGAUGAAGGUCUUCGGAUCGUAAACCUCUGUCAGCAGGGAAGAACGGACACUGUGCUAAUCAGCAGUGAAUUGACGGUACCUGCAAAGGAAGCACCGGCUAAAUCCGUGCCAGCCGCCGCGGUAAUACGGAGGGUGCGAGCGUUAAUCGGAAUUACUGGGCGUAAGGCGCUCGUAGGCGGUAUGUCAAGUCAAGGGUGAAAUCCCCGCGCUCAACGUGGGAACUGCCUUUGAAACUGGCAAACUGGAGUGUGUGAGAGGAUAGUGGAAUUCCAGGUGUAGGAGUGAAAUCCGUAGAUAUCUGGAGGAACAUCAGUGGCGAAGGCGACUAUCUGGCACAUAACUGACGCUGAGGAGCGAAAGCGUGGGUAGCAAACAGGAUUAGAUACCCCUGUAGUC